AGUGAACGCUGGCGGUAGGCCUAACACAUGCAAGUCGAACGGCAGCACAGUAAGAGCUUGCUCUUACGGGUGGCGAGUGGCGGACGGGUGAGGAAUACAUCGGAAUCUACUUUUUCGUGGGGGAUAACGUAGGGAAACUUACGCUAAUACCGCAUACGACCUACGGGUGAAAGCAGGGGAUCUUCGGACCUUGCGCGAUUGAAUGAGCCGAUGUCGGAUUAGCUAGUUGGCGGGGUAAAGGCCCACCAAGGCGACGAUCCGUAGCUGGUCUGAGAGGAUGAUCAGCCACACGAGAACUGCGACACGGUCCAGACUCCUACGGGAGGCAGCAGUGGGGAAUAUUGGACAAUGGGCGCAAGCCUGAUCCAGCCAUACCGCGUGGGUGAAGAAGGCCUUCGGGUUGUAAAGCCCUUUUGUUGGGAAAGAAAAGCAGCAGGUUAAUACCCCGCUGUUCUGACGGUACCCAAAUAAUAAGCACCGGCUAACUUCGUG
RNAcentral lists this ribosomal RNA (492 nucleotides) under uncultured bacterium. RNAcentral describes it as "partial 16S ribosomal RNA". It matches the Rfam family "Bacterial small subunit ribosomal RNA", at positions 29 to 507 of the family's 1533-position model. The record is from RNAcentral.